This 1519-nucleotide ribosomal RNA is filed under the name metagenome. RNAcentral's name for it is "bacterial SSU rRNA". It matches the Rfam family "Bacterial small subunit ribosomal RNA". The record is from RNAcentral.
GAGUUUGAUCAUGGCUCAGAUUGAACGCUGGCGGCAGGCCUAACACAUGCAAGUCGAACGGUAACAGGAAGAAGCUUGCUUCUUUGCUGACGAGUGGCGGACGGGUGAGUAAUGUCUGGGAAACUGCCUGAUGGAGGGGGAUAACUACUGGAAACGGUAGCUAAUACCGCAUAACGUCGCAAGACCAAAGAGGGGGACCUUCGGGCCUCUUGCCAUCGGAUGUGCCCAGAUGGGAUUAGCUAGUAGGUGGGGUAACGGCUCACCUAGGCGACAUCCCUAGCUGGUCUGAGAGGAUGACCAGCCACACUGGAACUGAGACACGGUCCAGACUCCUACGGGAGGCAGCAGUGGGGAAUAUUGCACAAUGGGCGCAAGCCUGAUGCAGCCAUGCCGCGUGUAUGAAGAAGGCCUUCGGGUUGUAAAGUACUUUCAGCGGGGAGGAAGGGAGUAAAGUUAAUACCUUUGCUCAUUGACGUUACCCGCAGAAGAAGCACCGGCUAACUCCGUGCCAGCAGCCGCGGUAAUACGGAGGGUGCAAGCGUUAAUCGGAAUUACUGGGCGUAAAGCGCACGCAGGCGGUUUGUUAAGUCAGAUGUGAAAUCCCCGGGCUCAACCUGGGAACUGCAUCUGAUACUGGCAAGCUUGAGUCUCGUAGAGGGGGGUAGAAUUCCAGGUGUAGCGGUGAAAUGCGUAGAGAUCUGGAGGAAUACCGGUGGCGAAGGCGGCCCCCUGGACGAAGACUGACGCUCAGGUGCGAAAGCGUGGGGAGCAAACAGGAUUAGAUACCCUGGUAGUCCACGCCGUAAACGAUGUCGACUUGGAGGUUGUGCCCUUGAGGCGUGGCUUCCGGAGCUAACGCGUUAAGUCGACCGCCUGGGGAGUACGGCCGCAAGGUUAAAACUCAAAUGAAUUGACGGGGGCCCGCACAAGCGGUGGAGCAUGUGGUUUAAUUCGAUGCAACGCGAAGAACCUUACCUGGUCUUGACAUCCACAGAACUUUCCAGAGAUGGAUUGGUGCCUUCGGGAACUGUGAGACAGGUGCUGCAUGGCUGUCGUCAGCUCGUGUUGUGAAAUGUUGGGUUAAGUCCCGCAACGAGCGCAACCCUUAUCUUUUGUUGCCAGCGGUCCGGCCGGGAACUCAAAGGAGACUGCCAGUGAUAAACUGGAGGAAGGUGGGGAUGACGUCAAGUCAUCAUGUCCCUUACGACCAGGGCUACACACGUGCUACAAUGGCGCAUACAAAGAGAAGCGACCUCGCGAGAGCAAGCGGACCUCAUAAAGUGCGUCGUAGUCCGGAUUGGAGUCUGCAACUCGACUCCAUGAAGUCGGAAUCGCUAGUAAUCGUGGAUCAGAAUGCCACGGUGAAUACGUUCCCGGGCCUUGUACACACCGCCCGUCACACCAUGGGAGUGGGUUGCAAAAGAAGUAGGUAGCUUAACCUUCGGGAGGGCGCUUACCACUUUGUGAUUCAUGACUGGGGUGAAGUCGUAACAAGGUAACCGUAGGGGACCUGCGGUUG